Molecule: ribosomal RNA, 482 nt
Filed under: uncultured bacterium
Lineage: Bacteria
Description: partial 16S ribosomal RNA
Rfam family: Bacterial small subunit ribosomal RNA
Source: RNAcentral
AUUGAACGCUGGCGGCAUGCCUUACACAUGCAAAUCGAACGGUAACGGGCCUUCGGGUGCCGACGAGUGGCGAACGGGUGAGUAAUACAUCGGAACGUGCCCGAUCGUGGGGGAUAACGAGGCGAAAGCUUUGCUAAUACCGCAUACGAUCUACGGAUGAAAGCAGGGGACCGCAAGGCCUUGCGCGGACGGAGCGGCCGAUGGCAGAUUAGGUAGUUGGUGGGAUAAAAGCUUACCAAGCCGACGAUCUGUAGCUGGUCUGAGAGGAUGAUCAGCCACACUGGGACUGAGACACGGCCCAGACUCCUACGGGAGGCAGCAGUGGGGAAUUUUGGACAAUGGGCGCAAGCCUGAUCCAGCCAUGCCGCUUGCAGGAUGAAGGCCUUCGGGUUGUAAACUGAUUUUGUACGGAACGAAAAGCCUUCUUUUAAUACAGGAGGGUCAUGACGGUACCGUAAGAAUAAGCACCGGCUAACUACGUG